UUCCCAGUAGUUAAGUAGAUAAAGUGAUGGCGUUUGAAGCGAAAGGUACUGGGUUCGAGUCCCAGGGUGGAC
This 72-nucleotide transfer RNA is filed under the name Schistosoma mansoni. Lineage: Eukaryota; Metazoa; Platyhelminthes; Trematoda; Strigeidida; Schistosomatidae. The record is from RNAcentral.